Suricata suricatta (meerkat) is the source of this 605-nucleotide long non-coding RNA. RefSeq lists it as uncharacterized. NCBI's taxonomy places the organism in Eukaryota, Metazoa, Chordata, Mammalia, Carnivora, Herpestidae. The record is from RefSeq and is a predicted model, not a curated record. The transcript has 2 exons.
GCGUCGGUGCGCCUGCGCAGACAUCGGGGUUUUUGGAGGAGACCGGGGUCGGAGCUUAUGGUGGGGGCUGGUCGCUUUGUUUCUGGGUCAUUUUGCCCCACGCCUGGGGGCCAGGUCGGUGACCCUCAGGCCCCGCCUCCACCUCAGCUGUCUUUUUUUCGAGCGGCUUAGAGGACAGGCCAAACCUCAGAAGGUCGCGGUGGAACUUGCCUGAGGUGUUAAAAUCAACUCAGAAGCAACGGCGCCUGAGGUCGCAGUGAUUGGGUAUUUUGUAAACCCCAAAGUCCCAGCGUUGUGGAAAGUCAUUUACUGUAUUUGCUGGGCUGGCGCCGUCAGCCAAAAUAAAGCGCCAACGUGCGUUUUUGGAGUCAGUAAACCUUACCUUAUGCUUUUGGGGAUCGGAGAACCCUCUGGCGCAAUUUUGGGCAUCAAGCUAAAAUCUGAAGAAACCUUGUCACCUCUGCACAAGCCCCCUAUACUGGACUCAUGAAGUGAAUCAGAGCCAUCAUCUGAGCCAGGAGAUUCCCAUCAAUGGUCAAGGUUAAGAGAUGAUUAGUUGAAACUGGUUGUUGAUGGUCAUACUCUUGAAAAAUCAUCUCUUUAAA